Priapulus caudatus is the source of this 930-nucleotide long non-coding RNA. RefSeq lists it as uncharacterized. The transcript is spliced from 2 exons. The record is from RefSeq and is a predicted model, not a curated record. Lineage: Eukaryota; Metazoa; Priapulida; Priapulimorpha; Priapulimorphida; Priapulidae.
GCUUAAUUGCAUGGCUGUGGUGUGCUAUUAUUAUUAAUAGUGCUGCAUUUUGUUUGCACGUAAUCUGUUUUUUGUUUACAUUGACCACAUUCUGUAGUAGUUUGUUUCUGAAACCCUAUGCUGUAAAAUACUAAAAGUUUAACUAUAAUUUAUACUAAGGACACGGAGCAUUUGUCCACAUCGCGCGUUUAUCAACAUUGUGUUUUUAGCCUGAGCUCAGAGUUGGUAUACAGAUUAGUUAUAAUGGGAAUUGCUCUUCUACUAUGACAUCAAAAUACAUUUGACUUCAUAUAGCCUUACGAUAGUGAUGAAGUUAUGUAACGGACAUAAUUGACCUAUCAGUCUGGAUUAAUUGACAGUUAUAGCUUUAGCAAAAUAGUAUUGUAAUAGGCACAUUCUAAUAAUGCUGCAAGUGCUGAAGUGCUACAUAGUACAAGGUCUAAGCACCAAAAAUCAGGUUCAUAUGCCCAAACAAAUGUAUUUCGAAAUUUAAUGGUGGCCAUUUUGAAAAUAUGGUGCCACGCCCCCUUAAAAGGCCAAAUCUGUUGGGGAAACAAAAACACAUAUAGCCUGGUCGAUUUUGAGACCUAGCAACAAUGGGCAGUGGAGUAUGGUUUUCUCGCUCCAGCAGAUAGGUCAAUUAUUGCAUACAUGAAAACAACAACAAAUAUAUGUCACUUAUUGAUAAUUCACUGGACAUUCUACAGGUGAGAAGAGGUUCUUCAUGGGGGACGAGGCCUGCACAGUUGACUGUGCACUGUUUGGUAUGCUGGCUCAAAUGGUCUGGAACAUGCCAGGCUCACCACAUGAAGCAAUCAUCAAUGGGAAGUUCACAAACUUGAAGGAAUACGUCUACAGGAUGAAGGAGACUUACUGGCCGGACUGGGAUGCAUGCAUUCUGUGCCCAGAGAAGAAGGAAGAGAAGAAAAA